Molecule: ribosomal RNA, 467 nt
Filed under: Salmonella enterica subsp. enterica serovar Muenchen
Lineage: Bacteria; Pseudomonadati; Pseudomonadota; Gammaproteobacteria; Enterobacterales; Enterobacteriaceae
Description: partial 23S ribosomal RNA
Rfam family: Bacterial large subunit ribosomal RNA
Source: RNAcentral
GGCGUGCUAAUCUGCGAUAAGCGCCGGUAAGGUGAUAUGAACCGUUAUAACCGGCGAUACCCGAAUGGGGAAACCCAGUGUGACUCGUCACACUAUCAUUAACUGAAUCCAUAGGUUAAUGAGGCGAACCGGGGGAACUGAAACAUCUAAGUACCCCGAGGAAAAGAAAUCAACCGAGAUUCCCCCAGUAGCGGCGAGCGAACGGGGAGGAGCCCAGAGCCUGAAUCAGCAUGUGUGUUAGUGGAAGCGUCUGGAAAGGCGCGCGAUACAGGGUGACAGCCCCGUACACAAAAGCGCAUGUGCUGUGAGCUCGAUGAGUAGGGCGGGACACGUGGUAUCCUGUCUGAAUAUGGGGGGACCAUCCUCCAAGGCUAAAUACUCCUGACUGACCGAUAGUGAACCAGUACCGUGAGGGAAAGGCGAAAAGAACCCCGGCGAGGGGAGUGAAAAAGAACCUGAAACCGUGU